RNAcentral lists this unclassified non-coding RNA (292 nucleotides) under Abundisporus sclerosetosus. RNAcentral describes it as "partial contains 5.8S ribosomal RNA, internal transcribed spacer 2, and large subunit ribosomal RNA". Lineage: Eukaryota; Fungi; Basidiomycota; Agaricomycetes; Polyporales; Polyporaceae. The record is from RNAcentral.
CGCACCUUGCGCUCCUUGGUAUUCCGAGGAGCAUGCCUGUUUGAGUGUCAUGAAAUCAUCAACUUACAAGCCUUUGCGGGUUCUGUAAGCUUGGACUUGGAGGUUUUUUUGUUGGCUCAGCAGUCAACUCCUCUUAAAUGCAUUAGCUCGAUUCCUUGCAGAUCGGCUCUCGGUGUGAUAAUUAAUUUACGCCAUGACCGUGAUGUAUAUUGGUGGGCUUCUAACUGUCUCUUUAGAGACAAAUAUUCUGACCUCUGACCUCAAAUCAGGUAGGACUACCCGCUGAACUUAA